This 368-nucleotide unclassified non-coding RNA is filed under the name Hevea brasiliensis (rubber tree). The record is from RNAcentral. Lineage: Eukaryota; Viridiplantae; Streptophyta; Magnoliopsida; Malpighiales; Euphorbiaceae.
GAGAGAGAGAGAGUCAGAGAGAGAGAGGUUUGAAACAUUAAAGCUAGAAAGUAUUUUGGAUUGUAGAAUAAAGCACCAAAAAAAAAAAGUUGGAGAAGUGGUUUCUUUAGGUUAUAAGACAAAUAAGGUCACCGAAAACCUUUAUUUGUAAUAUUCAUGAAAAUUCUAGCCAAAUAAAUAUUGGAAAUGAAAACCAAAACCCUUUAUUUAUCUGUCCCCUCAUCUAUCCAAAUGUCAAAUUGCGAGCAAGCACCCGUGUUUGACAGGCAGGGAGCCAAAUAAAAAAAAAGGACUUCAAUACUCAAAAUUAAAACACUCAAUCAAAAAGUGGAAGAAACAGUAACCUCGUGUGGAAGACCAUUCCAGCU